This 305-nucleotide ribosomal RNA is filed under the name uncultured bacterium. RNAcentral describes it as "bacterial SSU rRNA". It matches the Rfam family "Bacterial small subunit ribosomal RNA", at positions 337 to 659 of the family's 1533-position model. The record is from RNAcentral.
UCCUACGGGGCGCAGCAGUGGGGAAUAUUGCACAAUGGGGGAAACCCUGAUGCAGCGACGCCGCGUGAGUGAAGAAGUAUUUCGGUAUGUAAAGCUCUAUCAGCAGGGAAGAAAAUGACGGUACCUGACUAAGAAGCCCCGGCUAACUACGUGCCAGCAGCCGCGGUAAUACGUAGGGGGCAAGCGUUAUCCGGAUUUACUGGGUGUAAAGGGAGCGUAGACGGCGAUGCAAGUCUGAAGUGAAAGGCGGGGGCCCAACCCCCGGACUGCUUUGGAAACUGUGUGGCUGGAGUGCAGGAGAGGUA